Molecule: ribosomal RNA, 1440 nt
Filed under: uncultured organism
Description: 16S ribosomal RNA
Rfam family: Bacterial small subunit ribosomal RNA
Source: RNAcentral
GGCGUGCUUAACACAUGCAAGUCGAACGAAGCGCUUAGAUGUAUUUCUUCGGAUUGAAAUUUUUGUGACUGAGUGGCGGACGGGUGAGUAACGCGUGGGUAACCUGCCUCAUACUGGGGGAUGACAGUUAAAAAUGACUGCUAAUACCGCAUAAGCGCACAGUGCUGCAUGGCACAGUGUGAAAAACUCCGGUGGUAUGAGAUGGACCCGCGUCUGAUUAGCUGGUUGGUGGGGUAAUGGCCUACCAAGGCGACGAUCACCAGCCGGCCUGAUAGGGUGAACGGCCACUUUGAGACUGACACACGGCCCACACUCCUACGGGAGGCAGCAUCGGGGAAUAUUGCACAAUGCGUGAAACCCUGAUGCAGCGACACCGCGUGAGCGAAUAAGAAUUUCGGUAUGUAAAGCUCUAUCAGAAGGAAAGAAAAUGACGGUACCUGACUAAGAAACACCGGCUAAAUACAUGCCAACAGCCACGUAAAUACCUAUGGUGCAAGCGUUAUCCGGAUUUACUGGGUGUAAAGGAAGCGUAGACGGUUGUGUAAGUCUGAUGUGAAAGCCCGGGGCUCAACCCCGGGACUGCAUUGAAAACUAUGUAACUAGAGUGUCUGAUAGGUAAGCGUAAUUCCUAGUGUAGCGGAGAACUGCGUAUAUAUUAGGAGGAACACCAUUGGUGAAGGAGGCUUACUGGACGAUCACUGACUUUGAUGCUCGACUGAGUGUGAAGCACACAGGAUUAGAUACCCUGCUAGACCACGUCGUAUACGAUGACUACUAGGUGUCGAGGAGCGCAGCUCUUCGGUGCCUCAGCAAACGCAAUAAGUAGUCCCACUGCGGAGUACGUUCGCACGAAUGAACUCAAACGAAUUGAUGGAGAUCCGCACAAUCGGUGGAGCAUGUGGUUUAAUUCGAAGCAACGCGAAGAACCUUACCCGGUCUUGACAUCUCUCUGAGCGCUCUUUAAUGGGAGUUUUCCUUCGGGACAGAGGAGACAGGUGGUGCAUGGUGUUCGUCAGCUCGUGUCGUGAGAGUGUUGGGGGUAAGUCUCCGCAACGAGCGCAACCCCUAUCUUCUGUAGCCAGCAUUUAAGGUGGGCACUCUGGAGAGACUGCCAGGGAUAACCUGGAGGAAGGUGGGGAUGACGUCAAAUCAUCAUGCCCCUUAUGACCAGGGCUACACACGUGCUACAAUGGCGUAAACAAAGGGAAGCGAACCUGUGAGGGGAAGCAAAUCUCAAAAAUAACGUCUCAGUUCGGAUUGUAGUCUGCAACUCGACUACAUGAAGUUGGAAUCGCUAGUAAUCGCGAAUCAGCAUGUCGCGGUGAAUACGUUCCCGGGUUUUGUACACACCGCCCGUCACACCAUGGGAGUCAGUAACGCCCGAAGUCAGUGACCCAACCGUAAGGAGGGAGCUGCCGAAGGUGGGACCGAUAACUGGGG